CAUCGCAAGGUAAAAUCUGAAGAAAGAUGAAAACAAAAUGCAGGUCUGACGAACAGGAAGCGAUUUAGGCGGUGCGGCGGGAUAAGGUGGCUAUUAUCGUCAACGCCCAAUACUUAUACAGAAUGCUGUGACGUAGAGCCGACAGACAUAGGCAGGAAGGU
Molecule: non-coding RNA, 161 nt
Filed under: Providencia alcalifaciens
Lineage: Bacteria; Pseudomonadati; Pseudomonadota; Gammaproteobacteria; Enterobacterales; Morganellaceae
Source: RNAcentral